RNAcentral lists this ribosomal RNA (434 nucleotides) under uncultured Lachnospiraceae bacterium. RNAcentral's name for it is "partial 16S ribosomal RNA". It matches the Rfam family "Bacterial small subunit ribosomal RNA", at positions 341 to 792 of the family's 1533-position model. Lineage: Bacteria; Bacillati; Bacillota; Clostridia; Lachnospirales; Lachnospiraceae. The record is from RNAcentral.
ACGGAAGGCAGCAGUGGGGAAUAUUGGACAAUGGGGGAAACCCUGAUCCAGCGACGCCGCGUGAGUGAAGAAGUAUUUCGGUAUGUAAAGCUCUAUCAGCAGGGAAGAUGAUGACGGUACCUGACUAAGAAGCCCCGGCUAACUACGUGCCAGCAGCCGCGGUAAUACGUAGGGGGCAAGCGUUAUCCGGAUUUACUGGGUGUAAAGGGAGUGUAGGCGGCCAGACAAGUCAGGUGUGAAAACCCGGGGCUUAACCCCGGGACUGCACUUGAAACUGCCCGGCUAGAGUGCAGGAGAGGCAAGCGGAAUUCCUAGUGUAGCGGUGAAAUGCGUAGAUAUUAGGAAGAACACCGGUGGCGAAGGCGGCUUGCUGGACUGAGACUGACGCUGAGGCUCGAAAGCGUGGGGAGCAAACAGGAUUAGAUACCCUGGUA